Molecule: ribosomal RNA, 253 nt
Filed under: uncultured bacterium
Lineage: Bacteria
Description: partial 16S ribosomal RNA
Rfam family: Bacterial small subunit ribosomal RNA
Source: RNAcentral
GAUCAUGGGCUCAGGAUGAACGCUAGCUACAGGCUUAACACAUGCAAGUCGAGGGGCAGCAUGACCUAGCAAUAGGUUGAUGGCGACCGGCGCACGGGUGAGUAACACGUAUCCAACCUACCGGUUAUUCCGGGAUAGCCUUUCGAAAGAAAGAUUAAUACCGGAUAGUAUAACGAGAAGGCAUCUUCUUGUUAUUAAAGAAUUUCGAUAACCGAUGGGGAUGCGUUCCAUUAGUUUGUUGGCGGGGUAUCGG